GUAGCUCAGUUGGUUAGAGCGCACCCCUGAUAAGGGUGAGGUCGGCAGUUCGAAUCUGCCCAGACCCACCAAUUGUUGGUGUGCUGCGUGAUCCGAUACGGGGCCAUAGCUCAGCUGGGAGAGCGCCUGCUUUGCACGCAGGAGGUCAGGAGUUCGAUCCUCCUUGGCUCCACCAUCUAAAACAAUCGUCGAAAGCUCAGAAAUGAAUGUUCGUAGAUGAACAUUGAUUUCUGGUCUUUGCACCAGAACUGUUCUUUAAAAAUUCGGGUAUGUGAUAGAAGUAAGACUGAAUGAUCUCUUUCACUGGUGAUCAUUCAAGUCAAGGUAAAAUUUGCGAGUUCAAGCGCGAAUUUUCGGCGAAUGUCGUCUUCACAGUAUAACCAGAUUGCUUGGGGUUUUAUAUGGUCAAAA
RNAcentral lists this transfer RNA (411 nucleotides) under Pseudomonas fluorescens. RNAcentral describes it as "partial 16S-23S ribosomal RNA intergenic spacer". The stretch from base 100 to 172 matches the Rfam family "tRNA". Lineage: Bacteria; Pseudomonadati; Pseudomonadota; Gammaproteobacteria; Pseudomonadales; Pseudomonadaceae. The record is from RNAcentral.